CGUAGGUGGUAAGCGUUGUCCGGAUUUAUUGGUUUAAAGGGUGCGUAGGCGGUGAUUUAAGUCAGUGGUGAAAUACUUCAGCUUAACUGGAGAGGUGCCAUUGAUACUGGGUCACUUGAGUACUGAUGAGGUAGGCGGAAUGGACGGUGUAGCGGUGAAAUGCUUAGAUAUCGUCCAGAACACCGAUAGCGAAGGCAGCUUACUAAGGAGUAACUGACGCUGAGGCACGAAAGUGUGGGGAUCAAACAGGAUUAGAUACCCUGGUAGUCCACACUGUAAACGAUGAUCACUCGAUGUUGGCGAUACACAGCCAGCGUCUUAGCAAAAGCGAUAAGUGAUCCACCUGGGGAGUACGCCGGCAACGGUG
RNAcentral lists this ribosomal RNA (367 nucleotides) under uncultured organism. Its description in RNAcentral is "bacterial SSU rRNA". It matches the Rfam family "Bacterial small subunit ribosomal RNA", at positions 526 to 896 of the family's 1533-position model. The record is from RNAcentral.